UUCUGAAAAAGGCAUAACCGGAGAAAUCCGGCGACGCAAAGCUAUGGGUCCUACCCCUCACGGGAAGGAUCGCCAAGCUACCAAA
Molecule: non-coding RNA, 85 nt
Filed under: Candidatus Omnitrophota bacterium
Lineage: Bacteria; Pseudomonadati; Candidatus Omnitrophota
Description: Omnitrophica bacterium c-di-GMP sequence
Rfam family: c-di-GMP-I riboswitch aptamer
About the family: GEMM was predicted in a large-scale screen for bacterial structured RNA regulatory elements. Genes associated with GEMM are involved in a diverse array of functions, including chemotaxis regulation, signal transduction, secretion and chitin.
Source: RNAcentral